GGAAGGAUCAUUACACGACCUGGGCCUGGCCCAGGGUUCGCUGCCUUGAGCAGUGGAACCUUCCACCCUUGCUUAUGCGUACCGCUUGUUUCCUGGGCGGGCUUCGGCCUGCCAUGAGGAGAAAAACCUACCUUUGUCCUGUAUGAAUUGUCUGAUGAUUUGUGAAUCGUUACAACUUUCAACAAUGGAUCUCUUGGCUCUGGCAUCGAUGAAGAACGCAGCGAAAUGCGAUAAGUAGUGUGAAUUGCAGAAUUCAGUGAAUCAUCGAAUCUUUGAACGCACAUUGCGCCCCUUGGUAUUCCAUGGGGCAUGCCUGUUCGAGCGUCAUCUUGCACCUCAAGCUGAGCUUGGUGAUGGGCCCUUUGACUUGGUUCAUGGCCUGAAAUGCGGUGCCCUGGUACGGGUGCUGAUGCCAUCCCCUGGCUUUCUCCGGCGCAGCAGUACGCGUUUGGGAAGGGCGUGGGCGCGGCUUUUUAUACCUUCUUUGACCUCGGAUCAGGUAGGGAUACCCGCUGAACUUAAGCAUAUCAAUAAGCGGAGGAAAAGAAACCAACUGGGAUUGCCCUAGUAACGGCGAGUGAAGCGGCAACAGCUCAAAUUUGAAAUCUGGCUCUCUCGGGAGUCCGAGUUGUACUUUGCAGAGGGUGCUUUGGCGUAGGCCGCGGUCUAAGUUCCUUGGAACAGGACGUCGCAGAGGGUGAGAAUCCCGUAUGUGGCCGCUGGCCUUCGCCGUGUAAAGCCUCUUCGACGAGUCGAGUUGUUUGGGAAUGCAGCUCUAAAUGGGAGGUAAAUUUCUUCUAAAGCUAAAUACUGGCCAGAGACCGAUAGCGCACAAGUAGAGUGAUCGAAAGAUGAAAAGCACUUUGGAAAGAGAGUCAAACAGCACGUGAAAUUGUUGAAAGGGAAGCGCUUAUUGCCAGACUGGCCCGUAGUUGUUCAUCCUCUGGGAGCAUUCUUCUACGGGCCGGCCAGCAUCAGUUUGGGCGGCUGGAUAAGGACCUCUGUCACGUAUCUUCCUGCGGGAUGACCUUAUAGGGGAGGUGCAGUACAGCCAGCCUGGACUGAGGUCCGCGCAUUUGCUAGGAUGCUGGCGUAAUGGCCCUAAGCGGCCCGUCUUGAAACACGGACCAAGGAGUCUAACAUCUAUGC
Molecule: unclassified non-coding RNA, 1149 nt
Filed under: uncultured Pleosporales
Lineage: Eukaryota; Fungi; Ascomycota; Dothideomycetes; Pleosporales
Description: sequence contains 18S rRNA gene, ITS1, 5.8S rRNA gene, ITS2, 28S rRNA gene
Rfam family: Eukaryotic large subunit ribosomal RNA (bases 486-1149)
Source: RNAcentral